This 485-nucleotide ribosomal RNA is filed under the name uncultured bacterium. RNAcentral describes it as "bacterial SSU rRNA". It matches the Rfam family "Bacterial small subunit ribosomal RNA", at positions 28 to 526 of the family's 1533-position model. The record is from RNAcentral.
GACGAACGCUGGCGGCGUGCUUAACACAUGCAAGUCGAACGGUGAAGCCCAGCUUGCUGGGUGGAUCAGUGGCGAACGGGUGAGUAACACGUGAGUAACCUGCCCCUGUCUCUGGGAUAACCACGGGAAACGGUGGCUAAUACCGGAUAUGAGAUUCUUCCGCAUGGGGGGGUCUGGAAAGAUUUAUCGGACAGGGAUGGACUCGCGGCCUAUCAGCUUGUUGGUGAGGUAGUGGCUCACCAAGGCGACGACGGGUAGCCGGCCUGAGAGGGCGACCGGCCACACUGGGACUGAGACACGGCCCAGACUCCUACGGGAGGCAGCAGUGGGGAAUAUUGCACAAUGGGCGCAAGCCUGAUGCAGCGACGCCGCGUGAGGGAUGAAGGCCUUCGGGUUGUAAACCUCUUUCAGCAGGGAAGAAGCGCAAGUGACGGUACCUGCAGAAGAAGCGCCGGCUAACUACGUGCCAGCAGCCGCAGUAAAAC